Molecule: small nuclear RNA, 107 nt
Organism: Loxodonta africana (African savanna elephant)
Lineage: Eukaryota; Metazoa; Chordata; Mammalia; Proboscidea; Elephantidae
Source: Ensembl
GUGCUCACUUCGGCAGCACAUAUCCUAAAAUUGAAAUGAUACAGAGAAGAUUAGCAUGGCCCCUGCGUAAGGAUGACCUGCAAAUCCAUGAAGCAUUCCAUACUUUU